Molecule: long non-coding RNA, 870 nt
Filed under: Neogale vison (American mink)
Lineage: Eukaryota; Metazoa; Chordata; Mammalia; Carnivora; Mustelidae
Description: Neovison vison (American mink) lncRNA (ENSNVIG00000000013.1)
Source: RNAcentral
CUAGCCUCUGCCCCGCCCCUUCCUCCCCGGCCAGCUUCCGCAUUGCCCGCGCAACUCCGAGACUAAACGGAGUGACGGAAACUACAAUCCCGCACAGAAGAAAGGCCCAAGGAACGAGGGAGUCCCCACCCUGCCAAAAGGAGAGACUCCUUUAGAAAAACUUGGCGGCAAGUUAACAGGAAGCGCGGAGGCGCAGUUCCUAGGCCGUUUGGGGGCACCUUGCCGCCCCAGUAAUCUCAUCUUUUGUUCUUUGACAGGACUCCUUGAAGCCCCUACUCUGAGCGCUUUCCGGGCAGCUCUUGACUCGAACUCCACUGCGAUCCCUCUCUGAUGGCAGCCAUGAUAGUUACAUCCGGGUAUUUCGUGGAGUCGCGACCAGAGUCUCCCGGAAGUGACGCGAACGCGGAGGGAUUUGCGUUCGAGGCCAUCAGGUGGGGAAAUAGCCACACCAGCACCUCGCCAGAACAGAUGCCUGGGUGUCAGAGGUCCCAGGGGCACAGCGUCCUCAGGGGAGGUCAGAGCCCAUGGCUAGAUAUCAUGGGGGCGAGAUAUUAACCCAAGUAGUUGCAAGACACUAGAUCAAAAGGCCAGUAAAAUCAGAAUGAAGUGCUACAAUCAAUUCUUUGCCUUUAGGCUAAGAGCAAGUGUAGGAAUGAAAUGCUGUUAAGAAAACACACACAUGGAAUUAGGUGAUAAUGUCUAUAGAACUGGAUAUUGAAUGUCCCUAAUAUCUACUUGAGUCCCUUUAGGAAGCAGAGUUGGUUUUUAAUUCCUUGAGACUUUAGAAUUAGGAGCUAAGUUUAGCUGUGAGCACAGAGUAACAGAAAUCACCAAAAUAAAAGUUAUUUAUUAUUCUUUUUAUAUGAUAUA